This 418-nucleotide ribosomal RNA is filed under the name uncultured bacterium. RNAcentral describes it as "bacterial SSU rRNA". It matches the Rfam family "Bacterial small subunit ribosomal RNA", at positions 355 to 787 of the family's 1533-position model. The record is from RNAcentral.
UGGGGAAUAUUGCACAAUGGGGGAAACCCGUAGCAUGCAGCGACGCCGCGUGAAGGAUGAAGUAUUUCGGUAUGUAAACUUCUAUCAGCAGGGAAGAAAAUGACGGUACCUGACUAAGAAGCCCCGGCUAACUACGUGCCAGCAGCCGCGGUAAUACGUAGGGGGCAAGCGUUAUCCGGAUUUACUGGGUGUAAAGGGCGCGUAGGCGGGGAUGCAAGUCAGAUGUGAAAGGCAGGGGCUCAACCCCUGGACUGCAUUGGAAACUGUUGGUCUUGAGUACCGGAGGGGUAAGCGGAAUUCCUAGUGUAGCGGUGAAAUGCGUAGAUAUUAGGAGGAACACCAGUGGCGAAGGCGGCUUACUGGACGGUAACCGACGUUGAGGCUCGAAAGCGUGGGGAGCAAACAGGAUUAGAUACCC